Lolium perenne is the source of this 1036-nucleotide non-coding RNA. The record is from RefSeq and is a predicted model, not a curated record. NCBI's taxonomy places the organism in Eukaryota, Viridiplantae, Streptophyta, Magnoliopsida, Poales, Poaceae.
UAAAACAAGACACGAUCUGAUAUUUCCCCUCAAUGCCCGUCCUCUCCUCCCGCAGCAAUACACCUCCGGCCAGAUCUUCCCCCUCCCAGAUCCUCUCAUGCCACUACGCCCCGGCCGCCGCUGCCACCCGACUUCAGGCCUGCGUUUACAUCUCUAUCUUGGUCGUCGGUCUCGUCUAUUUAUCUCUAUCGUGGUCGCCGUCGGUUCAUCCGUUCGUACUUCAUUAUUCGCACUGGCGUUAUGGCUUGAGAUGUUUAGGGUUCGUCAAGUAUGUGCAGCUGUGAGCCGACGAGCGAAACUCUGCUCCACAACCGGCCAUCGACGACGGGCACGGGGCACCACUCGAUCUGUGCAGAGAUCCGUUUUUUUUUUCAGGUGAUUGUGCUUCGUGGAUCCGUUUGUGUCUCCUGUCGUUCCCGCUCCUCAAACAAGGGCGCCCCUCGAUCCCAGAUCCCCUGCCAGGGGUGCCAAACCAUCGUCCCCACCACGAUUCUCCUUUAAUCAGAACAUUAUCACGUUGCUGCUGACAUAUGUGUGUUCGCAUUGGUGAUUCUGGAGCCAAUGAGGUGAAGGACUGUUCCAGUUUGGCAAACCCUAUCAGGAACCACAUCACGUACUGUAGCUUCGGUAUUCCUGCAACUUUAACUUGUGCCUAUGGUUUCACUAAAUUGACAAAUGUGUUGUUGAUUACUAUGCCCAGCUCGUUUUUUUCAAAGGUGUGGUAUGCAUCUUUCAGAGCUAGUCAGGGAUUAACUAGUUGGUUGUAAAAAUACGGGAAACUGAGCUGACUUCUGAAAUUCUAUUGCAGAAUGCUCUGUCAUCAAAGAGGGCGCCUACUAAGAUAUAAAAUUGUAUUCGCUGGAGAUAUGCACAACAUGUAUUAUAUUGGGAAUCCUCUCUACUCAAGGAAGGAACCGACAAAGAUAUGAAAUUGUAUUGCAGAAUCUUUACACACUGGAUCAGAAAUUUCUGUUUGGUUUCUUGUGAUAACAUGCUUAUGCUUAUGCAUUUUUAUACGAGAGGUAAAGCUUCAGUA